RNAcentral lists this ribosomal RNA (458 nucleotides) under uncultured bacterium. RNAcentral describes it as "partial 16S ribosomal RNA". It matches the Rfam family "Bacterial small subunit ribosomal RNA", at positions 338 to 795 of the family's 1533-position model. The record is from RNAcentral.
CCUACGGGUGGCAGCAGUGAGGAAUAUUGGUCAAUGGGCGAGAGCCUGAACCAGCCAAGUCGCGUGAGGGAGUACUGCCCUAUGGGUUGUAAACCUCUUUUGUCGGGGAGCAAAAGCCGGACGUGUCCGGCUGUGAGAGGUCCUGAAGAAAAAGCAUCGGCUAACCUCGUGCCAGCAGCCGCGGUAAUACGGGGGAUGCGAGAGUUAUUCGGAUUUAUUGGGUUUAAAGGGGGCGUAGGCGGAAUGCCAAGUCAGCGGUAAAAUCGCGGGGGUCAACCUCGCUCCGACGGUGAAACUGGAGUUCUUUGGUGGGCGAGAAGUAGGCGGAAUGCGUGGUGUAGCGGUGAAAUGCAUAGAUAUCACGCAGAACUCCGAUUGCGAAGGCAGCAUACCGGCGCCCAACUGACGCUGAAGCACGAAAGCGUGGGUAUCGAACAGGAUUAGAUACCCCAGUAGUC